This 253-nucleotide ribosomal RNA is filed under the name uncultured microorganism. Its description in RNAcentral is "partial 16S ribosomal RNA". It matches the Rfam family "Bacterial small subunit ribosomal RNA", at positions 524 to 776 of the family's 1533-position model. The record is from RNAcentral.
UACGGAGGGGGCAAGCGUUGUUCGGAAUUACUGGGCGUAAAGCGCACGUAGGCGGUUUUGUAAGUCUGGGGUCAAAGGCGACAGCUCAACUGUCGUAAGGCCUUAGAUACUAUAGAACUGGAGUGCCAGAGAGGAUGGCGGAAUUCCCGGUGUAGCGGUGAAAUGCGUAGAGAUCAGGAGGAACACCGAUGGCGAAGGCAGCCCCCUGGGCCUGUACUGACGCUCAUGCACGAAAGCGUGGGGAGCAAACAGG